UUGGAAUCUCCUGGAAGCUCUUAAAAUGUUGAUGCCUGGGACCCUUGCCAAGAGAGUAUGGCCUAUUUGAUCUGUCACUGGAAUUUUAAAAAAAUUUCCCCAGCCCCGGGCCUCAUAAUUAUCUGGAACAGCUGUAACAGAUCUGCUUUCACUGGUCAUUAAAUCGUAUUGUAAGCUGUGGAUCCCUUCUUUCUGAACACCAAAGAAUGUGCUGUUAAAUCAAGUGUCCAGGUGCAAAGGUGGUUUCUAAAUGAAGAGUUAGGAAAAUUGUCUCAAGUCAUCAACUCAUAUUAACUGUCAGGACUUCCUUGCCUUCUCCUUGCAAAUGUUAUGUGAAAUCUGAGGAAGAGUACUUUGAAAAAUAUUAAAUUUGGUUAUUCUCCCUUAUAAAUGAGAACCUUCAUUCUGUGUUCUAGAUCUGUCUGGAACAUGCCUCUGAAUCCUAAGACAGGUCAGUCCCACAAGUAGCACCCUAUAUUUCCCACCUGGCACUUAUUGUAUUUUGUACUUGUUCGUUUGUUUGAUUGGUUGAUUAAUGUAAGAUUAUAAACUUCAGCAGUGAAAAAAAAAAGUUUGUUUUGCUUAUUUUCUAUAAGCUUAUUUCCUAGCACUGUGUCUAGAAUACAGUAGUAAGUCAAUAAAUAUUGUUUGAAUUAAAGGAUGGCCAUUUCUCAGACAGUCUUAAUCUUAGAGCAAAGGCAGGGAGUGUCUUCAUGAUGCCGUAAAUAAACACGGUUAUAUCAUUAGUAGAAUGCAAAAAUCGCAUAAGUAAAAGGGAAAGAGGGAGAAAAGAAGAAAAGGGAGGAAGGAAAGAAGGAAGGAAGGAAAGAAGGAAGAAAGAAAGGGAGAUAAGAAAGGGAGAAAGGGAGGGAAGGAGAGAGGAAGAGGGGAGACUAAGCAAGUCCUCUCUUUUCCUCUUCCUCUCCCAGUCCAAAAAUGCUUUUUUUAUCUUCAUAACUGGAGGUAGUUUUGCAACUUGGAGCAAGGCAUCUGUUAGGCUGCCACCUUCCCAUAGAGACUGGGAGAUAGGGGCCCUCUCUUCCUAGGACUACAUUUCAAAGACAUGGCUUAUAGCUCCUGGAGAAAGACUAUCCUGUGUUGUAAAACUGGGAAGAGGCUUUAAAAAGAUUUACAUGUCAAAGUGAAAGGGAAAGCAUUUACAAUGACAGGUUUUCUAAAGUAAAGGCUCUAAAAAAAGGAGGUUGGGGCCUAGUGCCACAAAGAAUCCUGCCUAAAACUUAGUUAAGGGGAGAGGAAUAUUAAGUCUGUCCUGGUCACCUGCAAAAGAGCAAUCUCUUCACACUGGAUGAGCUAUUCUAGGCCUAAAAAGUAUUUCCCUGCUUUAAGUCCCUACCCCACAGGAUCUCUGCUCAUGGUUAAAGAAAAGAAGUUGGGGCCGGGUGCAGUGGCUCACGCCUGUAAUCCCAGCAAUUUGGGAGGCUGAGGUGGGCGGAUCACGAGGUCAGGAGAUCGAGAUCAUCCUGGCUAACACGGUGAAACCCUGUCUCUACUAAAAAUACAAAAAAAUGAGCCGGCCGUGGUGGCGGGCGCCUGUAGUCCCAGCCACUCAGGAGGCUGAGGCAGAAGAAUGGCGUGAACCCAGGAGGCGGAGCUUGCAGUGAGCCGAGAUUGCGCCACUGCACUCCAGCCUGGGCGACAGAGCGAGACUCCGUCUCAAAAAAAAAAAAAAAAAAAAAGAAAAGAAAAAAAGAAAAGAAGUUGAAGGAGAUGAACUGAUCUCUGGGAAUAGAGUCUGCCGCCAUCCUUCCUGCAUCAACCAGGGGUGCUCUUCUCAGGGGUAAGAGUUUCAUUUUCUCCCAGUGAUAUAUUCAACCCUAAUUAAAUCAAUUUUCCUAACUUGCCCCUGAACCCCUGGACACUUAUACCCUAGGGUUAUUUUUUUUCUGGUAGAAAAGUCCUCAGGACUCCAUUAGAUUCCUGCACAUUCUCUGGAGCUGCUGGAUCUCAGAACCAUCCUGCUGAAAAGUGUUCCUUUCUAUUGCUCAUCUAGCUAUCUCAUUGAACCAGAGACCCUAGACCUGACCUAUGAGCCCUUCAACUGCCUCCCUCAUAUCUGGAAGUUCCCAAGCCAGGUUUCUCUGAGCAUGGUUUCAGCCAACCGUUUUCUGCCAUCAGCCUCUGCAAGAUGUGGCUGGACGUCAGCGUCCUUAGGCUAGGGGAAGACCUCUUGCCUUUGCAGCAUUGUUAGGGCCUCCUUUAUUCCUGAACCCUGCAGAGAACUGAUCUUCCUACUGUUUGAGUAACCACUGUUUUGUGGUAUUUGUGUGGUUUUGGCAGCCUAGGGCUCAAAACUCAGUGUGCAAACAGCAGCUGGCAGCAGUCAGAGGGCCUGUUUGUUUCUCUCAGCUCUACCUUUUCUGAAGAACCCAAGAGAAGCAAUUAGGCCAUACUUGAAAGUGAAGCCCUACAAAGAGUCUGCUCUCAUAACUUGUCUCUACUCUGCCUUGAACCUCCCAAGAGAAUAUUACUGCUCCAGCCUCCUUGCCAGGCGCUGCUGGUGGAAAUAGAAAACUAAAACUCAACCAUUCUGUGUCCAGCAAUAUCUUGCCCUUACUGUGUCUUUGCAGAGGGCUUCCCUUUUGUUACACCCUGAUUCUUGUAAAUAGCAUAUAUGGCUAGGUGUCAAGAGAGUUUCAUUUGUUUCUUUAUCUUGCUCAUAAUCUACAGAAGGAGGUAGGUUUGCAGUACAUUACUUCUUUCAAUUUUGAGCUAAAUUCAGUAUUUCUUACUCUACGGGUAAUGCAAAGUAGUAAUCUACAUGCCAGUACUACCCCUUACCUAACCUUCCUCCAAACUCCAUCCAGGUUAGUCAGCUUUUUUUUUUUUUCUUUUUUUAAACAAGGGGAAAUUCUGGAGAAAGUCAUCCUUGUUGGUAAAGCAAAAAGAUAAUGUUUUUAAUAGAAAUGGGUGAAGCAAAGAAUGUUUAUUCAUGCACAGAUAUGGCCUGAUAAAAUUUCUUUAUAAUAUUCCUGCUCAUGUCAAAGAGAUCCAGUAUCAAAAAAGGUAAAAGGACUACAACAUUCAAUUAAUAAAAUGCAGGCGGGCAAAGACAAGAGGUGGGGACCUUUAAGGAAAAGCACUAACAAGCUGCAUGUGGUGACUCACACCUGUAAUCCUAGCAGUCUGGGAGAUUGAGGAGGAAGGAUUGCUUGAUACUAGGAGUUUGAGACCAGUCUGGGCAACAUAGCAAGAUCCCUGUUUCUAAAAAAUAUAAAAAAAAUUAGCUGGGCCUUUUGGUGCAUGAAGAAAGAAAGAAAGAAAGAGAGAAAGAGAGAAAGAGAGAAUGAGAGAAAGAAAGAGAGAAAGAAAGAAAGAAAGAAAGAAAGAGAGAGAGAAAGGCAAAGCACUAACAAAAACCCAACUAUAUGAAGAAACAUAGGCCAUACUCUUGAAGGGAUAAUUAGUGUAGUUAAUAUUAAUUCUCCCCAUACUGAUCUAUAAAUAUGUGAUGGAAUUCUAAUCAAAAUCCUAAUGGUAUUUUUCACAGAAAUUGACAGGUCGUUCUUAACUCCAUAUGCAGUAUUAAAAGUCCAAAAUUAGCUAAUGCAUUAGCAAAAGGAACAAUGGUGGGAGAAUACCAUUCCAGAUAACAAGGUUUAAUAUAGUGUUAUAAUAAUUAAAACACUACAGAUAAAUAAAAGACAAUACAGAACUCAGAAAUACAAACAUGAACAUGAGGAAAUUGAAUAUGGCAAAGGUGGCGUUCCAAAUUAGAAGAAAAGCAUAGAUUGGUGUUAAAAGAAUUGGCUAUUCACAUGGAAAAAAUUAGAUAAUUAUCAC
Molecule: long non-coding RNA, 3801 nt
Filed under: Homo sapiens (human)
Lineage: Eukaryota; Metazoa; Chordata; Mammalia; Primates; Hominidae
Description: HSALNT0125041
Source: RNAcentral